Long non-coding RNA from Canis lupus familiaris (dog), 895 nucleotides. RefSeq lists it as uncharacterized. NCBI's taxonomy places the organism in Eukaryota, Metazoa, Chordata, Mammalia, Carnivora, Canidae. The record is from RefSeq and is a predicted model, not a curated record. The transcript has 3 exons.
CUGACAACCCUGAGAUCAAGAGUUGCACACUCUACCUACUGAGCCAGCCAAGCAUCCCUGCCAGCCCUGUGGACCCUGCACAGAAACAGAAGGAUAUUUGAAUGUUAUCAAGAAGAAUUUUCCCCUAUUCUUAAACUGCUUGUGGUCAGCUGAAUGGAAGAAGUCGCGACAACUAGCAAUUACUAAAUGGCCAGAUGCAAAAAAAAAAGCAAACAAUGACAGUACAUUAUGUUCUGCUUCUACUCAACACUAAAAGCAAGAUCUUUGCAAGGCUCCUCACAAUUGUGAAAAAUGAUAGCUAAUAAAUGUGGAAGGCAUGAUAACAGUAAAUCAACAAUUUGGAACCCCUAAGGUAACAAUGGACUCAGGAAAGGAUCAUCCAUGUAUUCUAAGCCACGUAAUGUAAGGUUAAUGAAAAACUGGAUAUUCACAUGGUGCCAAAGUAUCAACAUACAGAUAACUUCCUAUUAACAUGAGGGAAAAUGUCAUUGUUGAAUGGAGGGAUAAGACUGUCAUCAGCUUACUAGGACAUUAAAAGUCAGACAGGUAUGAGAUGUUACAUGAUAUGAAACAUAUAGCACAACCUGUGAAGUCUUUUGGAAUUAAAUAUUUUACCUGAACAUGGUCAAGCUCCGAGAUCUAAGUACAAAAGACAAGACUGGUGACAAAGAACAAAUUUAACCAACCACGAAAAAGCAAUCAGAUAAAUCUAAUACUUGGAAGACUAAUGGAAUCUUCUAUGGUAAUGUUCUUUUCAACAAGUCAAUGCCAUUAAAGGAAUGGGAGGAGACACUAUUCUAAAUUAAGAGACUGAAUAAUCCUAACAAAUAAAACACAUGGCCUCUGACCUGAUCAUUGUUUGAACAAAACAGUUAUAAAAUGUAUUUGGUGGCAA